Molecule: ribosomal RNA, 312 nt
Filed under: Macrostylis sp. MLpap
Lineage: Eukaryota; Metazoa; Arthropoda; Malacostraca; Isopoda; Macrostylidae
Description: partial 18S ribosomal RNA
Source: RNAcentral
CUGGGGCUUCCCGCCGAGUCGUGGGAAUGACUUCGGCGGAUCGCUAGUUAGCAUAGUUUAGGGUUAGAACUAGGGCGGUAUCUGAUCGCCUUCGAUCCUCUAACUUUCGUUCUUGAUUAAUGAAAACAUUCUCGGCAAAUGCUUUCGCAGUAGUUAGUCUUGCGACGGUCCAAGAAUUUCACCUCUAGCGUCGCAAUACUAAUGCCACCGUCUGUCCCUUUUAAUCAUUACCUCGGUUCAUUAAAACCGACAAAAAGAACAGAAUCGAGGUCCUGUUACUUCAUUCCAUGCACAGACAUUCCGGCCGUUUUU